This is a non-coding RNA of Heteronotia binoei (common prickly gecko), 74 nucleotides long. The record is from the annotation of a RefSeq genome assembly. Lineage: Eukaryota; Metazoa; Chordata; Lepidosauria; Squamata; Gekkonidae.
AAGAGAUAAGCAUGUAGGUUGUAGUGUUACUAGUUUGAAACUAGGAGGAGGGGGUUCAAGUCCCUCAUCUCUUG